ACGAACGCUGGCGGCGUGCCUAAUACAUGCAAGUAGAACGCUGAAGAGAGGAGCUUGCUCUUCUUGGAUGAGUUGCGAACGGGUGAGUAACGCGUAGGUAACCUGCCUUGUAGCGGGGGAUAACUAUUGGAAACGAUAGCUAAUACCGCAUAACAAUGGAUGACACAUGUCAUUUAUUUGAAAGGGGCAAUUGUUCCACUACAAGAUGGACCUGCGUUGUAUUAGCUAGUAGGUGAGGUAAUGGCUCACCUAGGCGACGAUACAUAGCCGACCUGAGAGGGUGAUCGGCCACACUGUGACGGAGACACGGCCCAGACUCCUACGGGAGGCAGCAGUAGGGAAUCUUCGGCAAUGGGGGCAACCCUGACCGAGCAACGCCGCGUGAGUGAAGAAGGUUUUCGGAUCGUAAAGAUCUGUUGUAAGUCAAGAACGGGUGUGAGAGUGGAAAGUUCACACUGUGACGGUAGCUUACCAGAAAGGGACGGCUAACUACGUG
This 496-nucleotide ribosomal RNA is filed under the name uncultured bacterium. Its description in RNAcentral is "partial 16S ribosomal RNA". It matches the Rfam family "Bacterial small subunit ribosomal RNA", at positions 29 to 507 of the family's 1533-position model. The record is from RNAcentral.